Molecule: ribosomal RNA, 446 nt
Filed under: Ochromonas sp. CCMP1393
Lineage: Eukaryota; Chrysophyceae; Chromulinales; Chromulinaceae
Description: partial Bacterial small subunit ribosomal RNA
Rfam family: Bacterial small subunit ribosomal RNA
Source: RNAcentral
GCUGGCGGCAGGCCUAACACAUGCAAGUCGAACGGCACCUUCGGGUGUAGUGGCGGACGGGUUAGUAACGCGUGGGAACGUGCCCUUCUCUACGGAAUAGCCUCGGGAAACUGGGUUUAAUACCGUAUACGCCCUUCGGGGGAAAGAUUUAUCGGAGAAGGAUCGGCCCGCGUAAGAUUAGAUAGUUGGUGGGGUAAUGGCCUACCAAGUCUACGAUCUUUAGCUGGUUUGAGAGGAUGAUCAGCAACACUGGGACUGAGACACGGCCCAGACUCCUACGGGAGGCAGCAGUGGGGAAUAUUGGACAAUGGGCGAAAGCCUGAUCCAGCAAUACCGAGUGAGUGAUGAAGGCCCUAGGGUUGUAAAGCUCUUUUAGCAAGGAAGAUAAUGACGUUACUUGCAGAAAAAGCCCCGGCUAACUCCGUGCCAGCAGCCGCGGUAAUACG